AAAAUAUAAUAAUUAUUAGAAUUAUAAAACAUGACAAUCUGCGUAUGGUAAGUGAUACGUGACGACAUAAGUGAAAAUUCUGUCCACGUGGCAACAUCUUGAUGGAUCCAGCCCAUUUGUUGGCUCCAAUGAAGUCUCCAAAUGCUUUCUCAAAAGAAGUUUCAAGGUACUCCUUUAGGAUACCAUGGCCACCGACCACCGGUAUUGGCAAAGAACAAUGCCCUGUAAGGGACAACCCGUAUCACCAGCAUUGCAACACAAUAGCACAUAAAGCCAACUACCAAACCUUGAUCAAAUUAAAG
This 302-nucleotide unclassified non-coding RNA is filed under the name Hevea brasiliensis (rubber tree). Lineage: Eukaryota; Viridiplantae; Streptophyta; Magnoliopsida; Malpighiales; Euphorbiaceae. The record is from RNAcentral.